Molecule: ribosomal RNA, 460 nt
Filed under: uncultured bacterium
Lineage: Bacteria
Description: partial 16S ribosomal RNA
Rfam family: Bacterial small subunit ribosomal RNA
Source: RNAcentral
CCUACGGGGGGCAGCAGUGAGGAAUAUUGGUCAAUGGGCGUAAGCCUGACCCAGCCAAGUCGCGUGAGGGAUGAAGGUUCUAUGGAUCGUAAACCUCUUUUAUAAGGGAAUAAAGUGCGGGACGUGUCCCGUUUUGUAUGUACCUUAUGAAUAAGGAUCGGCUAACUCCGUGCCAGCAGCCGCGGUAAUACGGAGGAUCCGCGCGUUAUCCGGAUUUAUUGGGUUUAAAGGGUGCGUAGGCGGCCUUUUAAGUCAGCGGGGAAAGUCUGUGGCUCAACCAUAGAAUUGCCGUUGAAACUGGGAGGCUUGAGUAUGUUUGAGGCAGGCGGAAUGCGUGGUGUAGCGGUGAAAUGCUUAGAUAUCACGAAGAACCCCGAUUGCGAAGGCAGCCUGCCGCAGCGUUACUGACGCUGAAGCUCGAAAGCGCGGGUAUCGAACAGGAUUAGAUACCCUAGUAGUC